This 253-nucleotide ribosomal RNA is filed under the name uncultured bacterium. RNAcentral's name for it is "partial 16S ribosomal RNA". It matches the Rfam family "Bacterial small subunit ribosomal RNA", at positions 524 to 776 of the family's 1533-position model. The record is from RNAcentral.
GACGGGGGGUGCAAGCGUUAAUCGGAUUGACUGGGCGUAAAGGGCGCGUAGGCGGUCAUUAAAGUUAGAUGUGAAAUACUCGGGCUUAACCUGGGGGCUGCAUCUAAAACUAAAUAACUAGAGUUCGGUAGAGGAAAGCGGAAUUCCCGGUGUAGCGGUGAAAUGCAUAGAUAUCGGGAGGAACAUCAGUGGCGAAGGCGGCUUUCUGGACCGAAACUGACGCUGAAGUGCGAAGGCGUGGGGAGCAAACAGG